AAAGCGUUAGCUCAAAGGAAGAGCACCUGCAUUGCACGCAGGAGGUUGCAGGUUCGAUUCCUGUACGCUUUA
This 72-nucleotide transfer RNA is filed under the name Chryseobacterium defluvii. Its description in RNAcentral is "tRNA-Ala". It matches the Rfam family "tRNA". Rfam says of the family: Transfer RNA (tRNA) molecules are approximately 80 nucleotides in length. Lineage: Bacteria; Pseudomonadati; Bacteroidota; Flavobacteriia; Flavobacteriales; Weeksellaceae. The record is from RNAcentral.